AUGAUUUCUCUUGGAUUUGAGAAAGCCCCACUAGAGCAUGUGAUGUACAAGAGAGGUCAAGGAAGGGAUCGUCUACUAGUUGGCAUCUACGUCGACGAUCUGUUGAUAACUGGAGCAGAUGAAGAGGUGAUUGCAAAGUUCAAACUACAAAUGAAGGAGCUUUUCAAUAUGGAUGAUCUUGGUAUUUUGAGUUACUGCCUCGAGAUGGAGGAACAUCGAAAUCCGGAGGGGAUCACACUAUGCCAGGAGGCAUAUGCAAGGAAGGUACUUGAAAGCCGUAGCAUGAAAGAUUGCAAUCACAUUGUCGCUUCAAUGGAACCUCGUCUUGAGCUGAGCAGGAAGGAGAUGGUGGAACUACUCGGCUAUAGUGGUAGUGACAAGGAAGGAAUUGUUGACGGUAGUAAGAGUAAUUCGGGCGUGGCAUAUUUCCUUGGAGGAAGCAUAGUAAGCUGA
RNAcentral lists this ribosomal RNA (453 nucleotides) under Triticum aestivum (bread wheat). RNAcentral's name for it is "partial small subunit ribosomal RNA". The record is from RNAcentral. Lineage: Eukaryota; Viridiplantae; Streptophyta; Magnoliopsida; Poales; Poaceae.